CCUACGGGAGGCAGCAGUGGGGAAUAUUGCACAAUGGGGGAAACCCUGAUGCAGCGACGCCGCGUGAGCGAUGAAGUAUUUCGGUAUGUAAAGCUCUAUCAUCAGGGAAGAAGAUGACGGUACCUGACGAAGAAGCCCCGGCUAACUACGUGCCAGCAGCCGCGGUAAUACGGAGGGGGCAAGCGUUAUCCGGAUUUACUGGGUGUAAAGAGAGCGUAGACGGCGAUGCAAGCCAGAUGUGAAAGCCUGUGGCUCAACCAUGGGACUGCAUUUGAAACUGUUUUGCUGGAGUGUCGGAGAGGCAGGCGGAAUUCCUAGUGUAGCGGUGAAAUGCGUAGAUAUUAGGAGGAACACUAGUGGCGAAGGCGGCCUGCUGGAAGAUGACUGACGUUGAGGCUCGAAAGCGUGGGGAGCAAACAGGAUUAGAUACCCGAGUAGUC
RNAcentral lists this ribosomal RNA (440 nucleotides) under uncultured bacterium. RNAcentral's name for it is "partial 16S ribosomal RNA". It matches the Rfam family "Bacterial small subunit ribosomal RNA", at positions 338 to 795 of the family's 1533-position model. The record is from RNAcentral.